GAUGACGAGUGGCGGACGGGUGAGUAAUGCUUGGGAACUUGCCUUUAGGAGGGGGAUAACAGUUGGAAACGACUGCUAAUACCGCAUAAUGUCUACGGACCAAAGGGGGCUUCGGCUCUNACCUAAAGAGAGGCCCAAGUGAGAUUAGCUAGUUGGUAAGGUAAAGGCUUACCAAGGCGACGAUCUCUAGCUGUUCUGAGAGGAAGAUCAGCCACACUGGGACUGAGACACGGCCCAGACUCCUACGGGAGGCAGCAGUGGGGAAUAUUGCACAAUGGGGGAAACCCUGAUGCAGCCAUGCCGCGUGUGUGAAGAAGGCCUUCGGGUUGUAAAGCACUUUCAGUUGUGAGGAAAGGUUGGUAGUUAAUACCUGCCAGCUGUGACGUUAACAACAGAAGAAGCACCGGCUAACUCCGUGCCAGCAGCCGCGGUAAUACGGAGGGUGCGAGCGUUAAUCGGAAUUACUGGGCGUAAAGCGCACGCAGGCGGUUUGUUAAGCUAGAUGUGAAAGCCCCGGGCUCAACCUGGGAUGGUCAUUUAGAACUGGCAGACUAGAGUCUUGGAGAGGGGAGUGGAAUUCCAGGUGUAGCGGUGAAAUGCGUAGAUAUCUGGAGGAACAUCAGUGGCGAAGGCGGCUCCCUGGCCAAAGACUGACGCUCAUGUGCGAAAGUGUGGGUAGCGAACAGGAUUAGAUACCCUGGUAGUCCACACCGUAAACGCUGUCUACUAGCUGUUUGUGAAUUUAAUUCGUGAGUAGCGAAGCUAACGCGAUAAGUAGACCGCCUGGGGAGUACGGCCGCAAGGUUAAAACUCAAAUGAAUUGACGGGGGCCCGCACAAGCGGUGGAGCAUGUGGUUUAAUUCGAUGCAACGCGAA
Molecule: ribosomal RNA, 876 nt
Filed under: Alteromonas sp.
Lineage: Bacteria; Pseudomonadati; Pseudomonadota; Gammaproteobacteria; Alteromonadales; Alteromonadaceae
Description: bacterial SSU rRNA
Rfam family: Bacterial small subunit ribosomal RNA
Source: RNAcentral